ACGCUGGCGGUAGGCUUAACACAUGCAAGUCGUGCGAGAAAGUAUCUUCGGAUAUGAGUAGAGCGGCGGACGGGUGAGUAACGCGUAGGAAUCUACCUAGUAGAAGGGGAUAGCCCGGGGAAACUCGGAUUAAUACCGUAUACCUCCUUAGGGAGAAAGAGGGCCUCUCUUGAAGCUUUCGCUAUUAGAUGAGCCUGCGUAAGAUUAGCUUGUUGGUAAGGUAAUGGCUUACCAAGGCUACGAUCUUUAGCUGGUCUGAGAGGACGAUCAGCCACAUUGGGACUGAGACACGGCCCAGACUCCUACGGGAGGCAGCAGUGGGGAAUAUUGGACAAUGGGCGCAAGCCUGAUCCAGCCAUACCGCGUGUGUGAAGAAGGCUCUAGGGUUGUAAAGCACUUUAAGCAGGGAGAAAAAGUUAUAAAUUAAUACCUUAUAACCGUGAUGUUACCUGCAGAAUAAGCACCGGCUAAUUCCGUGCCAGCAGCCGCGGUAAUACGGAAGGUGCAAGCGUUAAUCGGAAUUACUGGGCGUAAAGCGCGCGUAGGUGGUUUGUUAAGUUGGAUGUGAAAGCCCUGGGCUCAACCUAGGAACUGCAUCCAAAACUAACUCACUAGAGUACGAUAGAGGGAGGUAGAAUUCAUAGUGUAGCGGUGGAAUGCGUAGAUAUUAUGAAGAAUACCAGUGGCGAAGGCGGCCUCCUGGAUCUGUACUGACACUAAGGUGCGAAAGCGUGGGUAGCGAACAGGAUUAGAUACCCUGGUAGUCCACGCCGUAAACGAUGACAACUAGCUGUUGGAAGACAAUGUCUUUCAGUGGCGCAGCUAACGUUUUAAGUUGUCCGCCU
RNAcentral lists this ribosomal RNA (845 nucleotides) under uncultured Gammaproteobacteria bacterium. RNAcentral's name for it is "bacterial SSU rRNA". It matches the Rfam family "Bacterial small subunit ribosomal RNA", at positions 33 to 874 of the family's 1533-position model. Lineage: Bacteria; Pseudomonadati; Pseudomonadota; Gammaproteobacteria. The record is from RNAcentral.